GUGAUACUGGAGAUGAUGAAACAAGUUCUUUGUUUGGAGAGGCAAGCAAGUUCCACAAACCAGGUGACAUGGCUGCUUUCAUGUCAAAAGAAAUGAUACGAGGUCUGGGACUCACCGUGACAGAACUGAUGCUCGCGCGAAUGACAGCAAUCAGAUAUGCGGGCAAGAAAGACAAGCCUGCACAUCUGGUGGAUAUGAUGGUUUCGCUUUGGAGUCGACUUCCUGACCAUGACGCCCCUGGAAGCCGAACAGACAAAGGGGUUCAGACUGGCCAGCUCUUCCCACUGGGAUCUCGUGAUAGCCUCUGCUCCAGACGACGGGGAGGACAGCAGUUCAGAUGAGUCAGAACUCUCCGUCGGGUGGGAUGCUGAAGAGGAGCUGGACCCACUUCCCGCCCGAGGAACCCCAGAGUACACUGAAACCGUGACAAGGCACAUAGAAAAUCUGCUGCAGUGUUACGUGUCUGUGCAGACAACGACUCAGGCACUGCAAGUCACAGCUGCGGAAGCGACACCCACAUGAAGACCCAGUGGCAGCUCCGGCGGGGUCAGACAAAGACAGCAGACGACUCCCAGACGUGCCAGGACCGGAGCAUCCCAGGUGUCCACAGAAGGGCCAGUAGCUGAUGAGCAAAGACCGAGGGACCAAGAAGCGCAGCAGGAAGUACCACCAGAUCCCCGGCAGCGUCUGCUAGCACUGCUGGGAAUCAUAGCCACACGCAUACCCAACAGAGAGUCUUUGGACAGACUGCAAAAGUUCCUGCAAGAAAACCAACCUUGCAACCCACCACAGGUGCAAACAAGAUUUCCUCCUGAACCCAAUGGCAUUCUUCACAUUGGUCAUGUCAAAGCUAUCAACUUCAACUUUGGUUAUGCAAGAGCCCACAACGGUGUUUGCUACUUGAGAUAUGAUGACACAAACCCAGAGAAGAAAGAGGAGAAGUUUUUCACAGGAAUUUUGGAUAUGGUCAAAUGGCUUGGUUAGUAAAAUAGUUUUGUUAAGGAAGAUUUCCAGGAAAAGCUCAAUAUUUUCUGUGGACAUAUCUCUCUUAGUUUUCCUCUUGUCAAGUUUAAGAAGUUUUAACUGUCAUCAAAGAAUUUAUGAAUGUGAAUAUAUGAAAGUCAUAUAUUUGAACUGUGGAUAAAGAAUUUAUGCCCAUCGUCAAAAAUUAAUCCUUUGAUCCCUAAGAGGGAGGACAUGUAGCAAUAUAUCACACUUUAAGGUCACAAGAAUAAAGGUAAUGAACAUGGACUAAAGAAGUUUUUUAUUGUUAAAUAUUAAAUUCUCCCAGUCAGCAUCUUAUGAAAUGUAUAGAGAAAAGUAUAGAGAACAUGCAUACUGAUGGCGGCAUCUAAAGGGUUGAUUCACAAAUUUCCAAGUGGAUUCAUUUGCAAUCCCUGUUUGAUCAUCUCUAUCAUUAGCCACAUUUGAUUCUUUGUGGGUUAUUGAUGCCUUUUUACUAACCAAGUUCAAGGUCUGUGCUGUAAGUUACAGAUCAAGUCUUUUCUGUUGGGUUUUAUGGGCCAAUGGGAAAGUAUGUGGGACAUGUACCCUCUUGGAAAAAAACAAGGGUCCAUAACUUACUUUACAAAUUAAGAAAAUGAGAUUAGUAAGAUAUUUGUUUUAUUUCUGGAUUCAAAUAGAGAGGAAAGAUUUCAAUUCAAAC
Pocillopora verrucosa is the source of this 1666-nucleotide non-coding RNA. Lineage: Eukaryota; Metazoa; Cnidaria; Anthozoa; Scleractinia; Pocilloporidae. The record is from RefSeq and is a predicted model, not a curated record.